AUGGUUUGUUUUACUUGUGAAGGCCCUGGUCAUUACGUUGGUAAGUGCAUUCAAAAGAAGAUUUGCUUCAUAUGUGGGCGGGAGGGUCACAACGUGAACAACCGUGCGGCUUGGGCGCAACCUCACCCAGUUGCCACCUUCUUUGGAAGCUCAGCUCCGGGGCUAGGGUUCUACCACAUUGAUGCUCCGGUGGGUCGUGAAGCAAAUUGGCUCAACUUCAGAAACUGUGGAGAGGUUUGGGUCAUGAAGGGAGAAAUCGGCCAGUCGGACUUGAUCAAGAACCUGUCAAGGAUUUUCUGCAAAAACAAACAGUGGACUUGGCAAGUCAGACCUCUGUCUGAAAAGAAGUUCCUGGUUCGAUUCCCACCCUGGAAAGAUGUGGAAGAGUUGAUUGAGUUUCCUUCUUUCGAUUUGCCUAUCGAUGGAGCGUCUGUGACAAUGGAGAAGUGGACCGGUGCGAUUGACCCAUUCAGUGAGCUAACUGAGGCAUGGGUGGUCACUGAAGGUCUCUCGUCCAAAUGGUGCACAUGGAAAGUGCUGUCACAAAUUGCAUCCUGCUUUGGGAUCCUUGUGGAUGUGGACUGGAAUGGUCUAAUGAAAAGUUUUUAUGAGAAGGUGAGAGUCAAGAUUGCUUGCAGGAACCCAACAAAAAUUCCCUUUGAACGAAUCAUGGAGAUGAGGAAAAAACUGUAUAUCUUGUCAUUCACAGUUGAAGGCUUCGAUCAGAUAGGUGCUGACGACCCCAAUGAUGAUAAUGGCCCUACUCACAUAUCUGUGGACGAUGACAAUAAAGAACUUGAAGAUGAGGAAAUUGACAAGGAUAUCCUAGAUGAUGGGGAAGAACCUAUUGAUGCUCUGAACCUGGCCAACAGGGCUACCUCCUCGAAGAAAACACCAGCUGGAAAAAAUACUAAUGAUAAUGAUGUGGCCUUCCAUCCUGCGCCCUGA
Molecule: ribosomal RNA, 948 nt
Filed under: Triticum aestivum (bread wheat)
Lineage: Eukaryota; Viridiplantae; Streptophyta; Magnoliopsida; Poales; Poaceae
Description: partial small subunit ribosomal RNA
Source: RNAcentral